GAUGAACGCUGGCGGCGUGCUUAGCACAUGCAAGUCGAACGAGAAGUGGAGACGGAAACCUUCGGGCGGAAGACUGUAUUUCGAGGGGCGGACGGGGGAGUAACGCGUGGGUAACCUGCCUCAUACAGGGGGAUAACAGUUGGAAACGACUGUUAAUACCGCAUAAGACCACAGCACCGCAUGGUGCGGGGGUAAAAACUCCGGUGGUAUGAGAUGGACCCUCGUUCGAUUAGCCAGUUGGAGGGGUAACCGCACCCCAAAGCGACGAUCGCAAGCCGGGCUGUGAGGCUGGCCCGCCACUCUGGGGCUGGGCCACGGCCCGGACUCCUCCGGGAUGGAGCAGUGGGGAAUAUUGCACCACCGGGGGAAUCCUGAUGGUGCUCCGCCGCGUGAGUUAUGUAGUAUUGCGGUAUGUAAAGCGUUAUCAGCAGGGCAGAAAAUGACGGUACCUGAGCAAGAAGCCCCGGCUAACUACGUG
RNAcentral lists this ribosomal RNA (478 nucleotides) under uncultured bacterium. RNAcentral describes it as "partial 16S ribosomal RNA". It matches the Rfam family "Bacterial small subunit ribosomal RNA", at positions 28 to 507 of the family's 1533-position model. The record is from RNAcentral.